UCAGUCGACUCCUACGGGGAGGCAGCAGUGGGGAAUAUUGCACAAUGGGCGCAAGCCUGAUGCAGCCAUGCCGCGUGUAUGAAGAAGGCCUUCGGGUUGUAAAGUACUUUCAGCAGUGAGGAAGGCAGGUACGUUAAUAGCGUGCUUGUUUGACGUUAGCUGCAGAAGAAGCACCGGCUAACUCCGUGCCAGCAGCCGCGGUAAUACGGAGGGUGCGAGCGUUAAUCGGAAUUACUGGGCGUAAAGCGCAUGCAGGUGGUUUGUUAAGUCAGAUGUGAAAGCCCGGGGCUCAACCUCGGAAUUGCAUUUGAAACUGGCAGACUAGAGUACUGUAGAGGGGGGUAGGAAUUUCAGGUGUAGCGGUGAAAUGCGUAGAGAUCUGAAGGAAUACCGGUGGCGAAGGCGGCCCCCUGGACAGAUACUGACACUCAGAUGCGAAAGCGUGGGGAGCAAACAGGAUUAGAUACCCUGGUAG
RNAcentral lists this ribosomal RNA (475 nucleotides) under uncultured bacterium. RNAcentral's name for it is "bacterial SSU rRNA". It matches the Rfam family "Bacterial small subunit ribosomal RNA", at positions 328 to 793 of the family's 1533-position model. The record is from RNAcentral.